UGCCCGAUAGUAUAACGGUAGUACAGCAGAUUUUGGUUCUGCUUGUCCAGGUUCGAAUCCUGGUCGGGCAA
Molecule: transfer RNA, 71 nt
Filed under: Thermoflavifilum aggregans
Lineage: Bacteria; Pseudomonadati; Bacteroidota; Chitinophagia; Chitinophagales; Chitinophagaceae
Also listed under: 3 other names
Description: tRNA-Gln
Rfam family: tRNA
About the family: Transfer RNA (tRNA) molecules are approximately 80 nucleotides in length. Their secondary structure includes four short double-helical elements and three loops (D, anti-codon, and T loops).
Source: RNAcentral